Molecule: long non-coding RNA, 570 nt
Filed under: Homo sapiens (human)
Lineage: Eukaryota; Metazoa; Chordata; Mammalia; Primates; Hominidae
Description: HSALNT0375284
Source: RNAcentral
CCUCAACAACCUCCCCUCCAUUGUGACAUUUCCGUUGUGAGGCUGUGUCGCCGCUGCGCGUCAUCACGUGUCGAUGGAGGCAUCGCAAUGCAACAGCCAAGUAUCGGAUCCGGCCUUCUUCAGCUCUCUGUUGUCUCCAUCAGCUCCCCUGGGGGCACUGUGACAUUUCCGCUGUGAGACUGUGUCGCCGCUGCGCGUCAUCACGUGUCGAUGGAGGCAUCGCAAUGCAACAGCCAACUCUAGAGAUGCCCAAUGCACAAGACUCCCGAUGGAAAGAGAAUGCCGAUGGAGUUGGGCUGCCAGGCCUUUUCUCCUAGGUUGCAGCACUGGUGGAGAGGAGAGGCAUCUGGAGGAGGGGAGCCAUGUCAAGCGCGUAUGAGCACACACCUUCUCUCUCGGGUCCUGGGUUCCUUUUUGAGCCGUGGAUGAGAAAAUGAGAGGCGUAAACAGGACUGAUUUCAAACGUUCUGCCUAACUAUCAUGGCAAAGAGAAGGAAGUCAUCCCCUAGAGUGAUGAACUAGCUUCUUCAGAACUUUCUUGGAAUGAGAAGAAAAUUUAAUUAAUCCAGG